RNAcentral lists this unclassified non-coding RNA (1485 nucleotides) under Hevea brasiliensis (rubber tree). The record is from RNAcentral. Lineage: Eukaryota; Viridiplantae; Streptophyta; Magnoliopsida; Malpighiales; Euphorbiaceae.
GGAGCUUGGGUUUUUCCUCUAAAAAUAAAAGAAAUUUACAAUUCCAUAUAAGUUAUAAUGACAAAAAAUUUGCAUGAAAUUAAUACCUGUAUGACAAAUAACUCCAUGCUUCAUCUAUUCUACAAGAAGGAAACUCUGCAACAUUUCCUUACAAAAAACUCAUAAAUCUCCACACUCAUGACUCCCUUUAAUUCAGAAUACCAAUUACACUGGAAAGGAAAAAUGAAAAAAAAAGAAGAAAACAAGUUGACAUCACACAUCAAAGUCCAUUUUUUAAAAUCUAAAAAUAUACAUGUGAUUCUACCGCUUAAUCUUUCUUCUGCUAAAAAAUUCAAAGAACAAGCAGUCAGGAGCUGACCCUAUACAACCAAGAAACUUACUUUUUUUUUUCCCUUUCCUAAAUGACUUUAAUUUGCAAUUCAACUUGAAAGACUUCAUAUUAUUUGUUAGAAGGAAUUAGAACCUUUGACUUCUUCAGAUUUUGGAGCUCUGGCUUGAAUUGCCCUGCAUGAUAGAUUCUCAAGGUGAAAAUGCAGAAUAUAAGUUUCAAUGCAGAUUAUAUGAAUUUGCAUGACCUGCCAAUUACCAUUUGGUCCCAAACUGUCAAUAGCAGAAGUGGAAUCAAAUCCCAUUUGGAAAAAGGCUUUGGAGAUCAUUGUCUAAUGUAGUAUGAGGCACAGAUGGAAAUUGUGGAUUUGCAUUUGAAAUUACUGGUAUGCUUGCUGGAAAAAUUCCGUGUGAGUAAGGGUGAGCAUUCAUCCCAGGAAUGAAUCCCAUUAGUGCAGCAUUACUACCUCUUGGAUGAAGGAUAUCUUUGGAUAGAAUCUUCUCAAUAUCAUUGCUUAGUUCAGGAUUCACAGUAGCCAGUUUCAUUGACAGAAACUCUACCUGUUGUUGCAACGACUGCACAUAGUUAAUGAUUUCAUCAAGCAUUACUGCCUUUCCAGUAAUCUUAUUGCAUCCUGGAACAAGCUCCUGUAACAAUCUCAUUCGCUCACUUAUCUUCUCUCUUCUAACCCUUUCAGCUAGGCUGUGGCUAUUGGUAGCCUGUCCCCUUCUGGCUCUCACAUGAAUGUAAUUCUCAUUAGGAGCUUCUCCACUGUGAGAAUUGUUUUUAGCUUGUUUAGCUGAUUGUUUACCCCGUAAAUUAGCACCACUAUUUUGUUCAGUUCUUGGUUUCUUCUCAUCCUGUUCUUUUUGAACAUCAGAGCUAUGCCCAGAAGGAUCCUUCAGUCGUUCUCCUUCAGCAUUCUUGUUUGGAUCAUAUGAAGAAUUGGAUUCACCGACCCGUUUUCUUUUCUUCCCAUCAGGUGAAGCUCCUGUAAUGGGCUCUUCUGUUAAUUGGUGAUCCUCUUGAGAUUCUGCACUAUUUGCUACAGUUCUUUCGAUAUUUGCCUCCUUGUUUGUGGUAUAAUUUGGAUGGCAUCCAGUAUUGGCAAUCUGGCCACACUCAUUGAGACCAAAUGAGCUAACCAUUUCUGAGAG